Molecule: long non-coding RNA, 2492 nt
Organism: Paramisgurnus dabryanus
Lineage: Eukaryota; Metazoa; Chordata; Actinopteri; Cypriniformes; Cobitidae
Source: RefSeq, a predicted model, not a curated record
UUCUGGCCGGGCAAGUGCUGGUGGGCUGACGCACUUGGGGGCUGGUCGUUAUAAUAUGAUUUUUUUUUAUUGGCCAACGACCUAACCCACGAGACACCUAAUCAGCAGUCCAUUGGUUCUUUUUAUUUCACUUUUAUCUACCCCAAACAUGCUCUUUGGGAGCAUGCAGUGUCAGUGUGUGCAUGCAUCUGUUAAAAAUAGAGACGAGGGAGAAGCGAGUGAAGUGCGAAAUACUCUUUAACCUGCCCACUGGAGCUUGGAAUGCAAUUUGGGACAUUCUUCCAGUUGUCGGCAACUUUGUGAAAAAGGCUAUGUAAGAAUUUAUAGUCAGCCUUGACAAAGAUUCCACUCCAAUUUAGCUGUUGAAUAAAGCUCAUCCCUAUAAAAGGCUUGAUAAUCAUAAAAGCUAGAAACUAAAAUGCAGAAUUCUGGCCUGGUGUUUGGUCUGUGCUGUCUUUGGCUCUUGCAUCUCCAUCAUCCUGACCCUCUUUAGCAGCCUGUCCAUGUAUUUAUUUGAAGGCCACCAUGAGCACCCAUCUGCAUAAUAUGACUUUGUUACUCAGAUGUCCAUGCGCUCCUACAAAUUCUACAUUUUUUGUAAAGCUGCAACAAGUUGAAACCCUAUAAUUAUUAACGUUUGAUUUUGAACUAUGUAAUUAAAAUACAUGAAUAAGUAACAAAAGCAGAAAUCUAUUAAGACAUUACCUUUUUGUUGCUUGUUUACUGAUCUAUCAAUCCUUUUGCAUUUUCAUAAUUGAUCAUCAUAACUUGGUAUACAGUGGAUGUGUGGCUGUAGAUAACUUCUGAAGUCAAUUUAAAAAGACAAAAGUUAAUAAAUGCUGAAUUGGUCAAAUAUACAUUGUUGUAUUUUCACCAUUUUGAUGUUUAGGCAUUUCAUAAAUUGAGGGUUAAUUCACGUAUACUGAUGUUUCAAAUCAAAGAUUAUUUAUUAAUGACAGCUAAUUAUUUUAUAAAGAUUUUUAUUACAAUAUUUAUUUGUAUAAUAUCAAUUUAAUACAUUUAAUUCGUUACACCUACAUCACUGAGCGCAAGGGAGUGCAGCCAACAAAUACAUUCAGGUGUGUUUGACUUAACACCGAGAUGCGCAGACAGCACGUGGUAUGACAUCAAAGUACCGCGAGAGUUUGGGAAAGCCCCUGAAAAGGUUUGAACUCGCGGUAUUUGAUGUCACGAUCGGUUUGCGCGUAGAUCAGCAUGAAGUCAAACACAUCUGAGAGAUGUGUGGGCUGCCUGCACUCAACGUUGCGAUCUUGCGAUAAUUCAGUAGAGUGUAACCUCAGUCGUUUUUUGCAGCUUCUGGGUGUCGUGUCGAACGAUAGCAGAACGAUCUUUUGUUCUUUUCCAACUCGAUUUUUAACUCCCUAAACUAGUAGGAUGUUCCGACGGGUGAAGCAACAGUGCUGACGGCAGAGUUUCAGUGUCAAUUUUUCAUGCCAUGAUCACUGGGGCGGAAACCAUUAUGACGUUGCCUUGGACAUCAAACUAAACCAUCUCAUUCUGGCUUUUCUCUAACAUCGAAAUCUCAGAAGGACAGGACUAAGAUGGACGCAGCCUACACAGGAUGCAACCUUGCAUUUGAGGAACACCCAUAGAACGGAGAAAGUCAUUGGUUCUUCUGCUGAGGUUGUCAUAAAGCAUGCUUUUUCCAUUUGUUGCAUUGGGCAAUAUUAUCAAAAGAUUCUGAAAGAAAUAAGAUAAUUUUCAAAGCAUUAACAUGAAUAUGAAAGCAUUAGGUCAUUAAUGACCAUCUUUUAUUAUUGUUUAUUUACAGUGUCUUUAAUUCUGCUUACCUGACUCAUGCAGAAUUCUGGCUUGAUGUUCGGUCCACCUGUUAGCUGGCUCUGGUGCUUGGUAGUCUUCUCACUCAAACCUCUGAAUCAAGACCACCAUGAGAGGCCUUCUGAAGACCAUCAUUACGCUUCAGAUCCAGUUGUCUUUACUAUGAGAUGGGACUGAACUGGAGUCUGUGAACUAAUGCUGUGUUCGAGACAACUUGGAUGUUGGAUAUUAUUGACCUCAAACCCGUAAGAAGUCUGGAACAGCAAACAAAGUUGAGUAUCCGACCUCUCAACUUGGGACAGAUCGAUCAACACCGACCUCAAAGAGAUGCAUCAUUUGACAUUGCAGACAAAUCCUUUCUCUUUUUAAUGCAGAACUUAAGGAUGAACCACCCUGAUCUACUUAGAUGCACAGAUUCAACUCUGGCCCAGCAUCAUCCCCACACCUCAUCUGCCAUCAGUUUAAUUUAAUGUCUGUCAAUUGCAAAGGCUAUUUAUUUCAGUUAUAUUACAACUUAAUGUUAACUUUAAUUGAGACUAGUAUUGUGUAAAGCUGGGGUUUCCAAACUUUUAAUUUCAAAACCUAUUAGACAAGUGUAAUCUAUUUUAGACCCACUAAAAUAUUUUUUUAAUGGGGUAAAACACAUUUGUUCUCUUUCAGUGGAGUUAUUUUAUUUUCAUAAUAUUUCAUAA